Molecule: non-coding RNA, 30 nt
Filed under: Rattus norvegicus (Norway rat)
Lineage: Eukaryota; Metazoa; Chordata; Mammalia; Rodentia; Muridae
Source: RNAcentral
UGUCACAGUGCCUUGACAGCUAUCUCUUGU